This 421-nucleotide ribosomal RNA is filed under the name uncultured Alphaproteobacteria bacterium. RNAcentral's name for it is "bacterial SSU rRNA". It matches the Rfam family "Bacterial small subunit ribosomal RNA", at positions 389 to 827 of the family's 1533-position model. The record is from RNAcentral. Lineage: Bacteria; Pseudomonadati; Pseudomonadota; Alphaproteobacteria.
CAGCGAUGCCGCGUGAGUGAAGAAGGCCUUUGGGUUGUAAAGCUCUUUCGUCGGGGAAGAAAAUGACUGUACCCGAAUAAGAAGGUCCGGCUAACUUCGUGCCAGCAGCCGCGGUAAUACGAAGGGACCUAGCGUAGUUCGGAAUUACUGGGCUUAAAGAGCUCGUAGGUGGUUAAAAAAGUUGGUGGUGAAAUCCCAAAGCUUAACUCUGGAACUGCCAUCAAAACUUUUUAACUAGAGUAUGAUAGAGGAAAGUGGAAUUUCUAGUGUAGAGGUGAAAUUCGUAGAUAUUAGAAAGAAUACCAAUUGCGAAGGCAGCUUUCUGGAUCAUUACUGACACUGAGGAGCGAAAGCAUGGGUAGCGAAAAGGAUUAGAUACCCUCGUAGUCCAUGCCGUAAACGAUGUGUGCUAGACGUUGGA